This 76-nucleotide transfer RNA is filed under the name Actinopolyspora saharensis. Its description in RNAcentral is "tRNA_Thr_TGT". It matches the Rfam family "tRNA". From Rfam's summary of the family: Transfer RNA (tRNA) molecules are approximately 80 nucleotides in length. Their secondary structure includes four short double-helical elements and three loops (D, anti-codon, and T loops). Further hydrogen bonds mediate the characteristic L-shaped molecular structure. tRNAs have two regions of fundamental functional importance: the anti-codon, which is responsible for specific mRNA codon recognition, and the 3' end, to which the tRNAs corresponding amino acid is attached (by aminoacyl-tRNA synthetases). tRNAs cope with the degeneracy of the genetic code in two manners: having more than one tRNA (with a specific anti-codon) for a particular amino acid; and 'wobble' base-pairing, i.e. permitting non-standard base-pairing at the 3rd anti-codon position. Lineage: Bacteria; Bacillati; Actinomycetota; Actinomycetes; Actinopolysporales; Actinopolysporaceae. The record is from RNAcentral. RNAcentral also lists the same sequence under 3 other names.
GCCGCUGUAGCUCAGUUGGCAGAGCGCCCGCCUUGUAAGCGGAAGGUCAGGGGUUCGAGUCCCCUCAGCGGCUCCA